RNAcentral lists this long non-coding RNA (294 nucleotides) under Mytilus galloprovincialis (Mediterranean mussel). Lineage: Eukaryota; Metazoa; Mollusca; Bivalvia; Mytilida; Mytilidae. The record is from RNAcentral.
CUGAAUACAAUUAUUUUGUUAACAAAUACCAACAAAGAUAAAUACAUUGUAUUGCAGUAUUCUACUGCAAUCAAAGGGAAAAUGAUGAAAUUGAUUGCGGCAAUAUCAAUAUUCGGUGAUUUUUUCAACAAACUUCAACAUAUUUUAUUCAAAUAAUUAAAAUUAUGCCACUAGCAUGACUAGACAACAAUUAGUAAAAAAUAAAAAUCAGGGCGAAUGGACCCUGGGCGAACAGGUAUCAGGGCGAACAGGUACUAGGGCGAACGUGAAUUAGGGCGUACGGACCCGGAUUCC